RNAcentral lists this ribosomal RNA (509 nucleotides) under Scheffersomyces shehatae. RNAcentral describes it as "eukaryotic LSU rRNA". It matches the Rfam family "Eukaryotic large subunit ribosomal RNA", at positions 123 to 650 of the family's 3401-position model. Lineage: Eukaryota; Fungi; Ascomycota; Pichiomycetes; Serinales; Debaryomycetaceae. The record is from RNAcentral.
UGGCACCUUCGGUGUCCGAGUUGUAAUUUGAAGAAGGUAACUUUGGAGUUGGCUCUUGUCUAUGUUCCUUGGAACAGGACGUCACAGAGGGUGAGAAUCCCGUGCGAUGAGAUGUCCAACUCUAUGUAAAGUGCUUUCGAAGAGUCGAGUUGUUUGGGAAUGCAGCUCUAAGUGGGUGGUAAAUUCCAUCUAAAGCUAAAUAUUGGCGAGAGACCGAUAGCGAACAAGUACAGUGAUGGAAAGAUGAAAAGAACUUUGAAAAGAGAGUGAAAAAGUACGUGAAAUUGUUGAAAGGGAAGGGUUUGAGAUCAGACUUGGUAUUUUGUAUGUCUUGCUUUCGGGUGGGGCCUCUGCAGUUUACUGGGCCAGCAUCGGUUUGGACGGUAGGAUAAUGACAUUGGAAUGUGGCACUACUUCGGUGGUGUGUUAUAGACUUUGUUGAUACUGCCUGUCUAGACCGAGGACUGCGUCUUUGACUAGGAUGCUGGCAUAAUGAUCCUAAACCGCCC